CGUGAGGGAAAGGUGAAAAGAACCCCGGGAGGGGAGUGAAAUAGAACCUGAAACCGUAUGCUUACAAAAAGUUCGAGCCCGUUAAUGGGUGAGAGCGUGCCUUUUGCAGAAUGAACCGGCGAGUUAUUGUAUUAUGCAAGGUUAAGUCGAACAGAUGGAGCCGAAGCGAAAGCGAGUCUGAAUAGGGCGCUUAAGUAUGAUGCAAUAGACCCGAAACCGAGUGAUCUAGCCAUGAGCAGGUUGAAGUUGGGGUAAGACCCAAUGGAGGACCGAACCGAUAUGCCCGGAAACGCGUACGGAUGACUUGUGGUUAGCGGAGAAAUUCCAAACGAACUCGGAGAUAGCUGGUUCUCCCCGAAAUAGGUUUAGGCCUAGCCUUGAUUGAAUCUGCCCGGAGGUAGAGCACUGAAUGUGCGAUGGCGUCGUCUAGAUGUACUGAGUACAAUCAAACUCCGAAUGCUGGGUAGUACUAAUCAGGAGUCACUGUAUGGGUGAUAACGUCCAUACGGGAGAGGAAAACAAUCCGGAUCGCCAGCUAAGGUCCCAAAAUUUGUGUUAAGUGGGAAAGGAUGUAGAGUUGUCAAAACAGCUAGGAGGUUGGCUUAGAAGCAGCCACCCUUUAAAGAGUGCGUAAUAGCUCACUAGUCGAGUGACACUGCGCCGAAGAUGUACCGGGGCUAAACACAAUACCGAAGCUGCGGACUUGCACGUAAGUGUAAGUGGUAGGGGAGCGUUCUAAGGGCGUUGAAGGUAGAUCGUGAGGACUAUUGGAGCGCUUAGAAGUGAGAAUGCCGGUGUGAGUAACGAAAAUUGGGUGAGAAUCCCAUUCACCGUUUGACUAAGGGUUCCUGGGUAAAGUUCGUCUUCCCAGGGUAAGUCAGGACCUAAGAUGAGGCUGAAAAGCGUAGUCGAUGGACAACAGGUUGAUAUUCCUGUACCACCUAUAUGACUGAAGGAGUGACGGAGAAAGCUAACGAGGGCCAGUUAAUGGAUUCUGGUCUAAGUGCGUAGGCUAGUAUGUUGGCAAAUCCGCAAUACUAUAAUAGCUGAAACAUGAUGGGGAAGUAAGUCUUCGGACGAGCGAACUCUCGUGAUGCUAUGCUUCCAAGAAAAGCUUCUAGGGCUAAUUGUAUAGGUGCCUGUACCGACAACCGACACAGGUGGUCAAGGAGAGUAUCCUAAGGUGAGCGAGAGAACUAUGGUUAAGGAACUCGGCAAAAUGACCCCGUAACUUCGGGAGAAGGGGUGGUCUAGCGAUAGACCCGCAGUGAAUAGGCCCAGGCAACUGUUUACCAAAAACACAGGUCUCUGCUAACACGAAAGUGGAUGUAUAGGGGCUGACGCCUGCCCAGUGCUGGAAGGUUAAAGAGAUUAGUUAGUAUGACGUAAGUCGAUAAUACGAAGCUUUGAACUGAAGCCCCAGUGAACGGCGGCCGUAACUAUAACGGUCCUAAGGUAGCGAAAUUCCUUGUCAGGUAAGUUCUGACCCGCACGAAAGGCGUAAUGAUCUGGGUACUGUCUCAACCAUAGACUCGGUGAAAUCUUAAUACCUGUGAAAAUGCAGGUUACCCGCGACUGGACGGAAAGACCCCGUGGAGCUUUACUGUAGCUUGAUAUUGGGAUUCGGUAAAUUAUGUAGAGCAUAGGUGGGAGACUAUGAGAUUAAGGCGCCAGCCUUAAAGGAGUCAUCAUUGGAAUACCACCCUUAGUUUAUUGAAUUUCUAACCUAGGACCAUGAUCUGGUUCAGGGACAGUGUCUGGUGGGCAGUUUGACUGGGGCGGUCGCCUCCUAAAAUGUAACGGAGGCGUUCAAAGGUUCCCUCAGAAUGGUUGGAAAUCAUUCGCAGAGCGUAAAGGUAUAAAGGGAGCUUGACUGCGAGACCUACAAGUCAAGCAGGUGCGAAAGCAGGACUUAGUGAUCAGGCGAUUCAGAAUGGAAUGGUCGUCGCUUAACGGAUAAAAGUUACCCCGGGGAUAACAGGCUGAUACCACCCAAUAGUUCACAUAGACGGUGGUGUUUGGCACCUCGAUGUCGGCUCGUCAUAUCCUGGAGGUGGAGUUGCUUCCAAGGGUUGGGCUGUUCGCCCAUUAAAGUGGCACGCGAGCUGGGUUCAGAACGU
Molecule: ribosomal RNA, 2120 nt
Filed under: human gut metagenome
Description: bacterial LSU rRNA
Rfam family: Bacterial large subunit ribosomal RNA
Source: RNAcentral